CAAUAGCGUAUAUUAAAGUUGUUGCGGUUAAAAAGCUCGUAGUUGGAUUUCUGCUGAGAACGACCGGUCCGCCCUUUGGGUGUGUAUCUGGCUCUUUCUUGGCAUCUUCUUGGUGAACGUUGCUGCACUUGACUGUGUGGAGCGCUACCCAGGACUUUUACUUUGAGGAAAUUAGAGUGUUUCAAGCAGGCAUACGCCUUGAAUACAUUAGCAUGGAAUAAUAAGAUAGGACCUCGGUUCUAUUUUGUUGGUUUCUAGAGCUGAGGUAAUGAUUAAUAGGGAUAGUUGGGGGCAUUCGUAUUUAACUGUCAGAGGUGAAAUUCUUGGAUCUGUUAAAGACGGACUACUGCGAANGNAUUUGCNAAGGAUGUUUNCAUUG
RNAcentral lists this ribosomal RNA (379 nucleotides) under uncultured eukaryote. RNAcentral describes it as "partial 18S ribosomal RNA". It matches the Rfam family "Eukaryotic small subunit ribosomal RNA", at positions 592 to 975 of the family's 1831-position model. The record is from RNAcentral.